This 229-nucleotide ribosomal RNA is filed under the name uncultured bacterium. Its description in RNAcentral is "partial 16S ribosomal RNA". It matches the Rfam family "Bacterial small subunit ribosomal RNA", at positions 113 to 339 of the family's 1533-position model. The record is from RNAcentral.
ACGCGUAGACAAUCUGCCCUUUAGUUCGGGAUAAGCUUUGGAAACGGAGUCUAAUACCGGAUGUGAUCAUUUAAACGCAUGUUUGAAUGAUUAAAGAUCUAGAAUCGCUAAAGGAUGAGUCUGCGUAGCAUUAGCUAGUUGGUAAGGUAACGGCUUACCAAGGCAUCGAUGCUUAGCUGGUCUGAGAGGAUGAUCAGCCACACUGGGACUGAGAUACGGCCCAGACUCC